UACGUAGGGUGCGAGCGUUAAUCGGAAUUACUGGGCGUAAAGCGUGCGCAGGCGGUGAUGUAAGUCAGAUGUGAAAUCCCCGGGCUCAACCUGGGAACUGCAUUUGUGACUGCAUCGCUGGAGUACGGCAGAGGGGGAUGGAAUUCCGCGUGUAGCAGUGAAAUGCGUAGAUAUGCGGAGGAACACCGAUGGCGAAGGCAAUCCCCUGGGCCUGUACUGACGCUCAUGCACGAAAGCGUGGGGAGCAAACAGG
RNAcentral lists this ribosomal RNA (253 nucleotides) under uncultured bacterium. Its description in RNAcentral is "partial 16S ribosomal RNA". It matches the Rfam family "Bacterial small subunit ribosomal RNA", at positions 524 to 776 of the family's 1533-position model. The record is from RNAcentral.